UACGUAGGGGGCUAGCGUUGUCCGGAAUCAUUGGGCGUAAAGCGCGUGUAGGCGGCCCGGUAAGUCCGCUGUGAAAGUCGGGGGCUCAACCCUCGGAUGCCGGUGGAUACUGUCGGGCUAGAGUCCGGAAGAGGCGAGUGGAAUUCCUGGUGUAGCGGUGAAAUGCGCAGAUAUCAGGAGGAACACCAGUGGCGAAGGCGGCUACCUGGCCCACUCUUGACGCUGAGGCGCGAAAGCUAGGGGAGCAAACGGG
RNAcentral lists this ribosomal RNA (253 nucleotides) under uncultured bacterium. RNAcentral's name for it is "partial 16S ribosomal RNA". It matches the Rfam family "Bacterial small subunit ribosomal RNA", at positions 524 to 776 of the family's 1533-position model. The record is from RNAcentral.